GACACGACCGUACCGCAAACCGACACUGGUGCGCGAGAUGAGUAUUCUAAGGCGCUUGAGAGAACUCAGGAGAAGGAACUCGGCAAAUUGACACCGUAACUUCGGAAGAAGGUGUGCCUUUAGUAGGUGAACCAUUUACUUGGGGAGCCCAAUGAGGCUGCAAAAAAUCGGUGGCUGCAACUGUUUAUUAAAAACACAGCACUCUGCUAAGACGAAAGUCGACGUAUAGGGUGUGACGCCUGCCCGGUGCUGGAAGAUUAAAUGAUGGGGUGCAAGCUCUUGAUUGAAGUCCCAGUAAACGGCGGCCGUAACAAUAACGGUCCUAAGGUAGCGAAAUUCCUUGUCGGGUAAGUUCCGACCUGCACGAAUGGCGUAAUGAUGGCCACACUGUCUCCUCCUGAGACUCAGCGAAGUUGAAAUGUUUGUGAUGAUGCAAUCUCCCCGCGGAAAGACGGAAAGACCCCAUGAACCUUUACUGUAGCUUUGUAUUGGACUUUGAACAGAUCUGUGUAGGAUAGGUGGGAGGCUUUGAAGUGUGGUCGCUAGAUCGCAUGGAGCCAACGUUGAAAUACCACCCUGGUGUGUUUGAGGUUCUAACCUAGGUCCAUUAUCUGGAUCGGGGACAGUGCAUGGUAGGCAGUUUGACUGGGGCGGUCUCCUCCCAAAGUGUAACGGAGGAGUUCGAAGGUACGCUAGGUACGGUCGGACAUCGUGCUAAUAGUGCAAUGGCAUAAGCGUGCUUAACUGCGAGACUGACAAGUCGAGCAGAUGCGAAAGCAGGACAUAGUGAUCCGGUGGUUCUGUAUGGAAGGGCCAUCGCUCAACGGAUAAAAGGUACUCUGGAUAACAGGCUGAUACCGCUCAAGAGUUCAUAUCGACGGCGGUGUUUGGCACCUCGAUGUCGGCUCAUCUCAUCCUGGGGCUGUAGCCGGUCCCAAGGGUAUGGCUGUUCGCCAUUUAAAGAGGUACGUGAGCUGGGUUUAAAACGUCGUGAGACAGUUUGGUCCCUAUCUUCCGUGGGCGCUGCAGAUUUGAGGAAGCCUGCUCCUAGUACGAGAGGACCGGAGUGGACGAACCUCUGGUGUAUCGGUUGUCACGCCAGUGGCAUUGCCGAGUAGCUAAGUUCGGAAGAGAUAACCGCUGAAAGCAUCUAAGCGGGAAACUCGUUUCAAGAUUAGAUCUGCCGGGGCCUUGAGCCCCCUAAAGAGUCGUUCAAGACCAGGACGUUGAUAGGUCAGGUGUGGAAGCGCAGUAAUGCGUUAAGCUAACUGAUACUAAUUGCUCGUGCGGCUUGACCU
RNAcentral lists this ribosomal RNA (1298 nucleotides) under metagenome. RNAcentral describes it as "bacterial LSU rRNA". It matches the Rfam family "Bacterial large subunit ribosomal RNA", at positions 1635 to 2925 of the family's 2925-position model. The record is from RNAcentral.